Molecule: long non-coding RNA, 1040 nt
Organism: Megalopta genalis
Lineage: Eukaryota; Metazoa; Arthropoda; Insecta; Hymenoptera; Halictidae
Source: RefSeq, a predicted model, not a curated record
AUGGUGGCGCGUCGUUCAGAAAGAUAACAUCCACGGAAGCCACUAUAGUGGCGCGUCGUGCCUAAAAGGUUAAGCUUUCUGCCACCACAGCUAAUUAGCGUUAUACGGGCCACGGAACGGAGCUUCGAGAUUUUGCCAUAAGAGCCGCCACUUGUCAGUAAUUACGCUAUUUUUCAAACAUUUAAAUUAGAUUUUAUGACAUUAGAGUGUUACGGCAGAAAAAAUUCGUUAAUUAUAUCGUUCAUUCUGCUUUUCGUUCUUGACCGACAUCUUCUGCGAAUUUUCUUCGGUGAUUACCGGUUUAGUGACUACCGAUUUUGCAACCGACUUUAGCUGAUUCUUGUAAUGUAUAUCUUGCGCUCGAUCUUUGUAUUUAUCCUUGAUGUCUGGCCACAGCCUCUGCAAUAGAGCUAGGGCAUUAAAAUUGUUCGAUAAAUGAAUUCGUGUGAAGUUUUCUUGUCAUCGUAAACUUUAAGAAUCUUGUCUACUUUAAUUGUAAAAGCUGCGCAAGUGUUUCACACGCAGGAAGAUACUAUAGAAAAUCUGUUCCAGGUGAAUAUAAUUUGAGGUGUGAACGAAAGACGUACUCCUUUAUUGAUCGAUACGAAGAUCCCUUCGCACACUUCAUCGAAGACUCUUUCAAAGAAUAUAGAGGAAAUGACCAUGGUGAGAACAUAAGUGGACGUUCGCUUGAAAAUAUAUCGGUAGAGAAACUUCGAAGCCAUCGUUAGGCCACGAUCACUUUUACCGACACAAAGUUAUCUACAAAAAUUCGAUCCUUCAAUAACCCGAACAAAAUUACUUCGUACCUCUUCAAGUUCAUGUCAAUAGACUCUCCUCCUUAGCGUCACGCAUCACUUGUCCAUAUAACGUCUAUUACUCUCGAGCGUUUGGCGAGACGAUAAAGGGUUUAUACAAUAAAAUGUUCUUUUACAAUGUAAUAUUCUUUCAAUAAUAUACUUCGUAAAAAAUUAUAUGUACAUACUGAUAGAAAUAAUAAUGAUAUAUAUAUUAUACACUAAUAAAGGAUUCCGAAAACA